UACGGGAGGCAGCAGUGGGGAAUAUUGCACAACGGGCGCAAGCCUGAUGCAGCCAUGCCGCGUGUAUGAAGAAGGCCUUCGGGUUGUAAAGUACUUUCAGUCGUGAGGAAGGUGUUAAGGUUAAUAACCUUAGCAAUUGACGUUAGCGACAGAAGAAGCACCGGCUAACUCCGUGCCAGCAGCCGCGGUAAUACGGAGAGUGCGAGCGUUAAUCGGAAUUACUGGGCGUAAGGGCACGCAGGCGGUUAAUAAGUUGGAUGUGAAUCCCCGGGCUUAACCUGGGAAUGGCAUUCAAGACUGGUUAGCUAGAGUCUUGUAGAGGGGGUAGAAUUCCAUGUGUAGCGGUGAAAUGCGUAGAGAUGUGGAGGAAUACCGGGUGGCGAAGGCGGCCCCUGGGACAAAGACUGACGCUCAUGUGCGAAAGCGUGGGGAGCAAACAGGAUUAGAUACC
Molecule: ribosomal RNA, 451 nt
Filed under: uncultured bacterium
Lineage: Bacteria
Description: bacterial SSU rRNA
Rfam family: Bacterial small subunit ribosomal RNA
Source: RNAcentral